GUUGGCAUCGUUACCCUUCAAGCCCAGCCCUAUGCGCUGACCACCGAACUGCCGGGCCGCACCACGGCCUAUCGCAGCGCUGAAGUGCGUCCGCAGGUAAAUGGCAUCAUCCAGAAGCGGUUGUUCGAAGAAGGCAGCGAGGUCAAGGCCGGCCAGCAGCUGUACCAGAUUG
RNAcentral lists this non-coding RNA (172 nucleotides) under uncultured Pseudomonas sp. Lineage: Bacteria; Pseudomonadati; Pseudomonadota; Gammaproteobacteria; Pseudomonadales; Pseudomonadaceae. The record is from RNAcentral.